RNAcentral lists this ribosomal RNA (220 nucleotides) under uncultured bacterium. RNAcentral describes it as "partial 16S ribosomal RNA". It matches the Rfam family "Bacterial small subunit ribosomal RNA", at positions 794 to 1012 of the family's 1533-position model. The record is from RNAcentral.
UCCACGCCGUAAACGAUGAUAACUAGCUGUCCGGGUUCAUGGAACUUGGGUGGCGCAGCUAACGCAUUAAGUUAUCCGCCUGGGGAGUACGGUCGCAAGAUUAAAACUCAAAGGAAUUGACGGGGGCCUGCACAAGCGGUGGAGCAUGUGGUUUAAUUCGAAGCAACGCGCAGAACCUUACCAGCCUUUGACAUCCUAGGACGACUUCUGGAGACAGAUU